Molecule: ribosomal RNA, 274 nt
Filed under: uncultured bacterium
Lineage: Bacteria
Description: partial 16S ribosomal RNA
Rfam family: Bacterial small subunit ribosomal RNA
Source: RNAcentral
AUACGGAGGGUGCAAGCGUUACUCGGAAUCACUGGGCGUAAAGCGCGCGCAGGCGGUCUUUUAAGUUGGAUGUGAAAGCCUACGGCUCAACCGUAGAACUGCAUCCAAAACUAUUAGACUAGAGUGUGGGAGAGGAAGAUGGAAUUAGUUGUGUAGGGGUAAAAUCCGUAGAGAUAACUAGGUAUACCAAAAGCGAAGGCAAUCUUCUGGAACACUACUGACGCUGAGGCGCGAAAGCGUGGGGAGCAAACAGGAUUAGAAACCCCAGUAGUCC